UCUCACAAAGUGGUUGUGAAAUGCUCUAUUUGAAACUGCAUAUCACAGCCAGCUUUGAUGAGCU
Molecule: microRNA precursor, 64 nt
Filed under: Bactrocera dorsalis (oriental fruit fly)
Lineage: Eukaryota; Metazoa; Arthropoda; Insecta; Diptera; Tephritidae
Description: microRNA bdo-mir-2a precursor (bdo-mir-2a-1)
Gene: bdo-mir-2a-1
Rfam family: mir-2 microRNA precursor family
About the family: The miRNAs are transcribed as ~70nt precursors (modelled here) and subsequently processed by the Dicer enzyme to give a ~22nt product.
Source: miRBase by way of RNAcentral